UGGCUCAGGACGAACGCUGGCGGCAGGCCUAACACAUGCAAGUCGAACGGUAACAGGAAACAGCUUGCUGUUUCGCUGACGAGUGGCGGACGGGUGAGUAAUGUCUGGGAAACUGCCUGAUGGAGGGGGAUAACUACUGGAAACGGUAGCUAAUACCGCAUAACGUCGCAAGACCAAAGAGGGGGACCUUCGGGCCUCUUGCCAUCGGAUGUGCCCAGAUGGGAUUAGCUUGUUGGUGGGGUAACGGCUCACCAAGGCGACGAUCCCUAGCUGGUCUGAGAGGAUGACCAGCCACACUGAACUAGACACGUCCC
RNAcentral lists this ribosomal RNA (314 nucleotides) under Shigella flexneri. Its description in RNAcentral is "bacterial SSU rRNA". It matches the Rfam family "Bacterial small subunit ribosomal RNA", at positions 20 to 332 of the family's 1533-position model. The record is from RNAcentral. Lineage: Bacteria; Pseudomonadati; Pseudomonadota; Gammaproteobacteria; Enterobacterales; Enterobacteriaceae.